This 76-nucleotide transfer RNA is filed under the name bacterium. RNAcentral describes it as "tRNA-Gln". It matches the Rfam family "tRNA". From Rfam's summary of the family: Transfer RNA (tRNA) molecules are approximately 80 nucleotides in length. Their secondary structure includes four short double-helical elements and three loops (D, anti-codon, and T loops). The record is from RNAcentral. RNAcentral also lists the same sequence under 4 other names.
UGGGGCGUCGCCAAAUUGGUAAGGCAGCGGCCUUUGGAGCCGCCAUUUGCAGGUUCGAGUCCUGCCGCCCCAACCA